Tympanuchus pallidicinctus (lesser prairie-chicken) is the source of this 2086-nucleotide long non-coding RNA. RefSeq lists it as uncharacterized. The record is from RefSeq and is a predicted model, not a curated record. The transcript is spliced from 3 exons. Lineage: Eukaryota; Metazoa; Chordata; Aves; Galliformes; Phasianidae.
CAUUCCUGCUGCAAUGCUGCCUCCAAGUCACCCCAACACAUGCCAAGCAAUUAUCACAUCCCAUUUCUGGAUGUUCCAGAGGCUUUCAGAAUUAUCCAGCACACGGAAGAGGAGCUGGCUGAAUCACCUGCACCCUUUAGCUGCUCAUGCACGUAGAUGUUGCAAAAAGGAAUUGAAUUUAUAGUUAUGGACAGCCUUUAGGACUUAGGGAGAAGCUCCGUGGUUCCACUCCUUACAUGCAGUAAUUGCAUCUGUUUUAAAAGUAAAGAGUUGCCUGCACAUAGAAUCAUAGAAUCAAUAAGAUUGGAAGGACCACUUUAAGAUCAUCUAGUCCUACCAUCCACCUAUGCCUGUGACCACUCUAAACCACGUUCCUCAGUGUUAUACCUACUCUUUUCUUGAACAUCUCCAGAGAUGGUGACUCCACCAUCUCCCUAAGCAGCCUGUUCCAGCAUCACCACUCUUUUUGAAAAGAUUUUCCCUAAUAUCCAACCUGAACCUCUCCUGGCACAACUUGAAGACAUUACCUCUCAUCCUAUCUCUUUUAUCUGGAAGAAGAGGCUAACCCCCAACUUGCUACAGCGUCCUUGCAGGUAGUAGUAGAGAGCAGUAAGGUCUCCCCUGAGCCUCCUGUUCUCCAGACUGAGUAAUCCCAGUUCCCUCAGGCACUCCCCAUGAGACCUGUGCUCUAGAACCUUCAUGGCUUUGUUGCCAUUUUCUGGACACUCUCCAGGGCCUUGAUGUCUUUGUUGUAAUGUGGAGCCCAAAACCAAACACAGUACUUGAGAUGUGAAUUCACCAAUGCUGAGGACAGACGUGAUGCCUAUCAAACAUGGGAUAAAAAAUAAAUAAAUCACAGGCUGGGAAUCAGCAGCAAGAAGAAUGUCUUGAAAUUGGUGAUGAGAGUAGAGUUUCUUGGAGGUUCCUACAUAUCAGGCCCAUGUCAACACAAUUCAGGGCAAUGCAAUGCAAUGGCAUGUGCACAGGUUUCCUAUUGCAUGGACCUGAUGGUCAUCCUUAGUUCAUAACCCAGCCUCCCACAUGGAUCCUCCGUGUACUAGAUAGUCUGAUGCCAAGACCAUUGUGCUCCUCACAGAGCCAGCCUGGUAUCUUGCCUUGAUUCAAAGAUACUUUUAGGAAGAGAGGCUGUCUACAGCAGAAGACAUUUGCUCUAUGUCCUCCAUCUACUUGGCUCCUUUCGAAGCCAGUCCGCCUUAAGGUGCUGUUUCCAGGGUGGUGAUCUGAAAGUAAUCAUUGUGGAGAAAACAUACCCAAAGCCAGCUCCCAUUGUGCAGAAGGAACUGAAAAAUAGUGGUCUGGAUUCACUCUUCUUCUAUUUAGAAGUUUAGCCUGGCGUGUUUGCAGUAUGUUUGCUACACGAUAUGGAAGCACUUAUCCCAAAGAAACGAGGAAUGUAGAGUCUUCAGCCUGGGAAAGAUCUGGUAGAGGUGUGUACAAUUGUCCCUCAGAGAAGCUGAAUUGGAAACAGCUGAUCACAUUCUCUCACUUUUAUCAAGAGUGGAACUCAUCAACUGAGAUAAACUCAUGGCAGAUUCCAAAGAAACACGAGAGUUGCCUAAUGGUAAGGAAUUAAAUUUCAGAACUCAUUGCCUUGGGAUGCAGGGAUGGGUUCAGAGAGAUUAAGUACAUCUGCAACAUAAAGAUUAUUCGAAGGCUGAUUUCAGACUUGGGAUUCUGGACAGUUGUGAAUAUUUGGUCUGAGUCAGGAUGACCAUACAUAGGCUCUUUGUUUUGUUCUUCUGAAUGAGUCUCUGAGCAAUCACUGAGGGCUGGCUUGAACUCCAGCCAGUUAUGCCAGUGAUUUCUCUGAAGGGUGGCAUGAAGGAAUUGCCCAUGUCAUUCAAGAAAUCUGUGGUGCAGCAGGGUAAUUCAGCUCUUCAGCUAGCAACUGAAAACAUCCAUCAUGUCUUGUCAGCAUUUUUUUGACUUAGCUUUACCCCAGAGCUCAAGCAAUUAUUUGCAGCUGAAAAAAAGGGCAGCUACAGUCACUCGUAAGAUUUGGUCUCCUGCAUGGCUGUAUAGGAGACUUCAGUCGUCUUGUGGGCACAAAUACAGUUUCUGAAUU